GCUCCUCCUCCCCCAUAGGAGUGCCUCUCCUUCGCUGUUUCCUCGCCGUUCAUCUAUGGUGGUCAUCGGUCUCAGCUUGAGUCCAACCACCACAGUACUCCUCUAGCCUCCCCUCCAUGUCCACCACACUUCCCACACUCCCACGAGUCGCCCCGACCCCUUGCCCCCUCGCUAGAGUGCCCGCAUCACCGGAGACCUCACCACCACCGCCGCCUCGGUCCUUCUCCGUCGUUGCGGCCUCCCCUCCGUUGCACCCCUCCCCGCACGCCCCCUUGCCUCUGAACGGAUCCGCAAGACACCAUGGUCCCACCGGUGUCCUCAGACCGGCCGGAGCCCGCGGAGUCGCCAUCCCCGCGUUCGGUCGCCGUCCCUUGUCCUCUGUUCCCCGCGAGCGUCGUCGUGUUGUGUCCCUCCCUGGCGUAGACUAACGGCCGGUAUAGCUGUGCUGCUCUUCCCUGCACACGCUGGUGCUCUCGUCGGAGCCCGGGGUGGCCGGAUCCGGUCGGCCCCAUCACCUCCUAUCGCCCCUGCCUCGUCUGCCUCUGUCUCGCUCGGGGCCGAGCGAGGGAGGAGGAAGACGAUGCCAGCCUGGCCCCGCCUCUCCCUCGGUCCCACUCGCCAGCAUCCCAGGCGUUGACCCCGCCUUAUCCACUCAAAAGCGUAAACUGCCCGAAGGCGUUUUCAGUUUUUCCACUAGGGGCAUGUUUGCUGAAGUUUAUUCAUAGAUUGGUCCCUGAGCUUCAACACCUCACAUCUUCUCGACCGUAACUCCGAUCGAGCCCCCCUUCGAGAGAGAAUCGUUCGGCGUUUCGUUCCGCGGCUUCACCACACUUCUUCCCGGAGUCUCCGUCACCCCCAGGCAAGCCACAAUAGCCACUUGCAUGAUAGCCAUGCAGUAGCCAUGGUUUCUACUUGAAUAUUUAAUAAAAGUUUGCCUGUUAUUUGCCUGCUUGUUUGCUACUGUUGUCGUUGUUUCGAUUAUGCUCAUGGUUUCAUGUCCACCUUCAUGAUAUGUUAUGAUGCAUCUUGUUACCUUGUGCUACUUGCUAGUAUCAUUGUCACAUGUUAUGCUUGAUAGUAGUAGUAUAUGCUGGUAGCAAUGGUGUUCUUUCUGAUGCAUAUUUACCGUUUGUUAUCAAGUAUCGUAGCUAUGCAUGUUACUUUGCACCCAGUUGGUUACAUGCUUACUUGGUAGUGUUCUUGCUAUGUUCUUGCAUGGUACUUAUUCAUGAUGCUAGUAGUCGCUAUGAUCCCGUGUGGCGUUAUGAUCAUGCUCGUUAACAUGCUAUGCUCAGUUGGUGUCGUGGAUUUGUCACGGCAGAUGUCCUAGAGUGAGGACUUAGUCGUGAGGCCAACGCAUCUAUGUG
This is a long non-coding RNA of Triticum dicoccoides, 1367 nucleotides long. RefSeq lists it as uncharacterized. NCBI's taxonomy places the organism in Eukaryota, Viridiplantae, Streptophyta, Magnoliopsida, Poales, Poaceae. The transcript has 3 exons. The record is from RefSeq and is a predicted model, not a curated record.